GCAUUGGUGGUUCAGCGAUAGAAUGCUCACCUUCCGUGCAAGAGACCCGGGUUCCAUUCCCUGCCGAUGCA
RNAcentral lists this transfer RNA (71 nucleotides) under Loxodonta africana (African savanna elephant). It matches the Rfam family "tRNA". Rfam says of the family: Transfer RNA (tRNA) molecules are approximately 80 nucleotides in length. The record is from Rfam by way of RNAcentral. Lineage: Eukaryota; Metazoa; Chordata; Mammalia; Proboscidea; Elephantidae.